AAGAUAUUAAUAAAAGCGUUAAUUAUAAUACUUUGUCAAAGUAUAGUCGUAGGUUAAACCCCUGCAUAUCUUA
This 73-nucleotide transfer RNA is filed under the name Paedocypris sp. Banka Is. RNAcentral describes it as "tRNA-Asp". It matches the Rfam family "tRNA". From Rfam's summary of the family: Transfer RNA (tRNA) molecules are approximately 80 nucleotides in length. The record is from RNAcentral. Lineage: Eukaryota; Metazoa; Chordata; Actinopteri; Cypriniformes.